UCAAAAUAUUUAAACUGCCUGUAGUGGAGGAAUUUUAAAAGCAAAGAUCCCAAAAUUCCAAAACCACCCACCAUCCCUUUGAUUCUUCAAAAGGAGGGAGAGAGACAGACAGACAUAGCAUGUAGUCCUAAAAAUCAAGACUUCAAAAGGAGGGAGAGAGACAGACAGACAUAGCAUGUAGUCCUAAAAAUCAAGACUGGAUUAAGAAGAAGAAGAGUCUUGUUUCCUCAGAGAACAAAGAAUUUUUCUUUGUAGCCUUUGCUUAAGAAUUUUUCUCUGUAGCCUUUGCUUAAGAAUUUUUCUCUGUAGCCUUUGCUUAAGAAUUUUUCUCUGUAGCCUUUGCUUUGUCUCCAAGCCAACUUUCUUGUCUUUAACUUACCAUUCAAAGGUUCCAAUUCUGCUUCUCCUCUUUAUUCCUCAGUUUUUACUUGCAUUAUAAGUUUGGAAGAUUUUGUUUUCUUUUGCUGUCCAAAUGUAUGUUUUGAUCCACGGGUAAGAUUUACAGUGUACGUUUGAUAAUGAUGAUGAUGUUUCUUUUUCUUUUUUUAUUCUUUGUUGUAAGUUUUUUUGAUUUUAC
This 577-nucleotide long non-coding RNA is filed under the name Populus trichocarpa (black cottonwood). Its description in RNAcentral is "long non-coding RNA (PTRI_LNC003298)". The record is from RNAcentral. Lineage: Eukaryota; Viridiplantae; Streptophyta; Magnoliopsida; Malpighiales; Salicaceae.